This 363-nucleotide ribosomal RNA is filed under the name uncultured bacterium. RNAcentral describes it as "partial 16S ribosomal RNA". It matches the Rfam family "Bacterial small subunit ribosomal RNA", at positions 355 to 710 of the family's 1533-position model. The record is from RNAcentral.
UGGGGAAUUUUGGACAAUGGGGGAAACCCUGAUCCAGCCAUCCCGCGUGUGCGAUGAAGGCCUUCGGGUUGUAAAGCACUUUUGGCAGGAAAGAAACGUCGCGGGUUAAUACCCCGCGAAACUGACGGUACCUGCAGAAUAAGCACCGGCUAACUACGUGCCAGCAGCCGCGGUAAUACGUAGGGUGCAAGCGUUAAUCGGAAUUACUGGGCGUAAAGCGUGCGCAGGCGGUUCGGAAAGAAAGAUGUGAAAUCCCAGAGCUUAACUUUGGAACUGCAUUUUUAACUACCGGGCUAGAGUGUGUCAGAGGGAGGUGGAAUUCCGCGUGUAGCAGUGAAAUGCGUAGAUAUGCGGAGGAACACC